RNAcentral lists this unclassified non-coding RNA (273 nucleotides) under uncultured fungus. RNAcentral describes it as "sequence contains ITS1". The record is from RNAcentral. Lineage: Eukaryota; Fungi.
UUGAUUAUUUAACAUUUACUCGGACAUCACUGGUAACUAGGAUUUGUAUAAACCUCUGGCGGGCGCGAGCCGCCCCCAAGCAAUUAAUGCCCGGGGCCGGCAUGAGCCGUAUAGCCUGCUCAAGGCCCGCCAAAGCAACGAAGGUAAGGUAGACAUGGGGUUGAGAAACACGACAACCGCCGGCCGAGCCCAGAUGGACCCGAACGACAGCCGCCGCUGGAGGCUAGGCCCCCGAACUCAAUAAUGAUCCUUCCGCAGGUUCACCUACGGAAA